AUUGAACGCUGGCGGCAGGCCUAACACAUGCAAGUCGAACGAUUGGCGGACGGGUGAGUAAUGUCUGGGAAACUGCCCGCUGGAGGGGGAUAACUACUGGAAACGGUAGCUAAUACCGCAUACCAUCGGAUGUGCCCAGAUGGGAUUAGCUAGUAGGUGGGGUAACGGCUCACCUAGGCGACGAUCCCUAGCUGUUCUGAGAGGAGGACCAGCCACACUGGAACGGAGACACGGUCCAGACUCCUACGGGAGGCAGCAUUGGGGAAUAUUGCACAAUGGGCGCAAUCCUGAUGCAGCCAUUCCGCGUGUAUGAAGAAGGCCUUCGGGUUGUAAAGUACUUUCAGCGGGGAGGCGUUACCCGCAGAAGAAGCACCGGCUAACUCCGUGCCAGCCGCCGCGGUAAUAC
This 406-nucleotide ribosomal RNA is filed under the name uncultured bacterium. RNAcentral describes it as "partial 16S ribosomal RNA". It matches the Rfam family "Bacterial small subunit ribosomal RNA", at positions 30 to 526 of the family's 1533-position model. The record is from RNAcentral.